Molecule: ribosomal RNA, 761 nt
Filed under: Lepraria neglecta
Lineage: Eukaryota; Fungi; Ascomycota; Lecanoromycetes; Lecanorales; Stereocaulaceae
Description: SSU rRNA
Rfam family: Bacterial small subunit ribosomal RNA
Source: RNAcentral
GGAGGAAUGUAUAGCAAUAGCUGAUUGCACCAACAAAUAGUUGAUGCAAUAUUGACUCUGUCAAAUAAAAUUCUAGGUAGAAUUAUGAUAAUGACAUUGUCUGCCUAUAUGUCUUGACCAAAUUACGUGCCAGCAGUCGCGGUAAUACGUAGAAGACUAGUGUUAUUCAUCUUUAAUAGGUUUAAAGGGUACCUAGACGGUAAAUCAAGCCUUCACAGGGACUAAUUUACUAGAGUUACUUACGAGGGGGUAUUAAAGUACUGCAGGUGUAGAGAUGAAAUUCUGUCAUACCUCUUUUCAAAAGAAAAAUUAUGGCACAGGUAUAGGUGAAAGCAUCCCCUUAUGUGAUAACUGACGUUGAAGGACGAAGGCUUUGUGUCGCGAACAGGAUUAGAUACCCCAGUAGUCAAAGCAGAAAAUGAUGAAUGUCAUAGAUUAGAUAAAUAGUUUAUUCUAUAAAUGAAAAUGUAAGCAUUCCACCUCAAGAGUAAUUUGGCAACAUUGGAACUGAAAUCAUUAGACCGUUUCUGAAACCAGUAGUGAAGUAUGUUGUUUAAUUUGAUGAUCCGCAAAAAACCUUACCACAAUUUGAAUAUUUAUAUCUAUCUUUUUUUUUCGUAAAAAAAUAAAAAGGUAAUAUAUUUACAAGCGUUGCACGGCUGUCUUCAGUUAAUGUCGCGAGACUUUGGUUAGUUCCAUUAAAUUAACGUAAACCCUUACUUUAUUUUUAUAUGAAGUAGUUCCCCGCUAUAUUGGAUAUG